CGCAUCUGUGCAUGCAGCAUAUCAAUAAGCGGAGGAAAAGAAACUAACAAGGAUUCCCUCAGUAACGGCGAGUGAAGCGGGAAGAGCUCAAAUUUGAAAUCUUCAAGGUUUUACCUUGACGAAUUGUAGUUUAAAGAAGUGUUUUCUGCUGAAGUUUUGGUAAAAGUUCUUUGGAAUAGGACAUCAUAGAGGGUGAGAAUCCCGUCUAUGAUUGCGAUUUGUAGCUUUGUGAUACACUUUCAAAGAGUCGGGUUGUUUGGGAAUGCAGCCCAAAACGGGAGGUAAAUUUCUUCUAAGGCUAAAUAUUGGCGAGAGACCGAUAGCGAACAAGUACCGUGAGGGAAAGAUGAAAAGAACUUUGAAAAGAGAGUUAAAUAGUACGUGAAAUUGUCAAAAGGGAAGCGUUUAACACCAGUGUUGUUUUCUGAAAAUCAACCUCUGUUAGCUUUAUGCAUGUUUGUUUAGACCUAAUCAGCUAUCUUUCAUGUUCUAUUUGUUUGCAGUGGUGCACUUUUUCAGUUUACAGGUCAACAUCAGUUUUUUUAUACCGUAAAAAAGUUAAAGAAAGGUAGCUCAUGGCUCCGGUCGUGAGUGUUAUAGUCUUUUUCCUAUGCGGUAGGAGAGACUGAGGUCUGCAGUGUAGGCUAUUUGGCUAGAUACUCAGGCUGCUAUGUGAUACCAUUUCAUAAACAACUUGUUGAUUAUGUUUUGUCUAUUGCAUACUCGCUUGUACUAUCAUACCUACGCUUAGGAUGUUGACGAUCAGCUGAGCGCG
RNAcentral lists this ribosomal RNA (775 nucleotides) under uncultured Neocallimastigales. Its description in RNAcentral is "partial large subunit ribosomal RNA". The stretch from base 1 to 664 matches the Rfam family "Eukaryotic large subunit ribosomal RNA", at positions 26 to 664 of the family's 3401-position model. The record is from RNAcentral. Lineage: Eukaryota; Fungi; Neocallimastigomycota; Neocallimastigomycetes; Neocallimastigales.